AUGUAUAAUAGCUGCCCACUGCUCCUUAUACUAGGAUUUCACUGUGUGCUGUGUACAUGUGUGACGAUUAAAGGAGGAUUCAACAUCCACCAUUUCCAUUUCGGGAUGACACAACAAUUCAAUUAUCAUCAUCUUUUGUUCUACAGAAACACGUAGAUCAACCUUGUAUCCAUAGCUUGCUGCACUUGUUUUACGUCAAUAACGUGCGUAACCUUUAAGAACGGGCGUGACUUCCUGGUUUGUUCGCAGCCUCACUGCAGCUCAAUGCGGAAGACAAACAGGGAUCUCAGAACCCCACGCACAAUCUGAAGCAAGUUUUCUGAGGAUUUUGUGUGAGACCUGAAGUGUUUAAAAACAUAACCAUGUGGCCAAAUCAAGGUCCUCCCCCUCCAGUGGGUCCACCAAACCCUGCUUUCCCUCCUAACUACAACCCUGCUUUUCCUGUUGCACCUCCAUCAGGAGGACUUUUUCCCCAACCUGCACUUCCAGCAUACCCAGGUGGGCAAUAUCCAGCUGGGCAAUACCCAGGUGGCAUGAACCCAGCCAUGGUACCAAAUGUACAUCCAGGGGCGAUGCCUUAUGGAGCUCUGGGACCUCAUCCUUAUCCUGUGGCUCCAGGUGGAUAUCCAGGAGUCCCUACUGCAGGUGUUCACCCAGGUCCAUACCCGCACUCUCCAAAAGGGUGUCACCAAAAAGGCCAUAAAGGCCACAAAGGUGACCACAAAGGUCAUCAUCAUCAUGGAGGCUUGAAUCCCAUGGCUGGAGCAUGCGCCGGUGGACUGGCUGGAAUGGGAAUGGGAAUGGUCGGACAUAAGGGCCACAAAAAGAUGAAGAAGAUGAAAAAAAUGAAGAAAGCACAUAAGGGGAGCAAACACGGCAAGUCCUCGAGUAGUAGCAGCAGCAGCAGCAGUAGCAGCAGCAGCAGUGACUAAGCUUGAGGCCACCACAACAAGACAAAGCUUUCACAGAAAUGUCGCUUUACAAAAGGACCAUUAACAAUAAACACACAAAAUAAAUCUUGCAUGGGCUAUUUAUACUAGCAAUGCAUACAUAAGGUGUUACUGUACACAUUUGGCUGCAUUCCAUCAUGUCUUAAAUCUCCUUUUCUUUGGUUUGUAGUGUUUAUGUCAAAUGUUCCAUUGUUAUGGCUUCUGUAUUAUUGUAAAAAAUACACUACAAAUACCUGUGUGUGUGUGUGUGUGUGUGUGUGUGUGUACAAACACAUUAAAAUAAUAUAAGUCCAGCAAGCAAUGAUUUAAAAAAAAAAAAUAAUCUAACAUUGUGAUUUAGUAAAAGAAAAAUGUAUUUGUGUUUUUUUUUAAUUUUUUAGUGAAAAUAAUGAAUAAUGAAAUAAUGAAAAAGAUGCUGAAUGUUUUUAUGUGCAAACAAAUGUUUAGAAAUAAUGUAUUCUGCAAGGCUUUGUAUCUGCAAUAAUUGUAAUUAUAUAUAUAUAUAUAAAUGGUCUUCAAUUAAACCUGCUCAAUAAAUAUAUUUAAAGCAGAAGUCUAAUAUGUGUGUGUUCCCCAAGAUGAUAAAUAAUUGAAGUUAUAAAAUGAGUUGCAAUACACUUUGCGCCCACUAGUGUCCCUAUAAAUAAAUAUUUUAUUGAAGUUUGUAAAUAUGAACAUAAGAAACAUUGGUAAAGCAUAGG
RNAcentral lists this long non-coding RNA (1651 nucleotides) under Cottoperca gobio. RNAcentral describes it as "lncRNA (ENSCGOG00000003460.1)". The record is from RNAcentral. Lineage: Eukaryota; Metazoa; Chordata; Actinopteri; Perciformes; Bovichtidae.